RNAcentral lists this ribosomal RNA (1607 nucleotides) under Rhinatrema bivittatum (two-lined caecilian). Its description in RNAcentral is "16S ribosomal RNA". It matches the Rfam family "Bacterial large subunit ribosomal RNA". The record is from RNAcentral. Lineage: Eukaryota; Metazoa; Chordata; Amphibia; Gymnophiona; Rhinatrematidae.
ACUAAAAAACUAGCCUAAACACUUAACCUUCUACAACAACAAAUUAAAACAUUCAUUUUUUUAGUAUAGGCGAUAGAAAACUAGACGUUGGCGCAAUAGAAAAAGUACCGCAAGGGAAAGUUGAAAAAGAAAUGAAACAAAACAUAAAAGUAAAAAAAAGCAAAGAUUUAUACUUGUACCUUUUGCAUCAUGGUCUAACAAGCACCAACCUAAGCAAAAUGAUUUUUAAGUUUCUCCCCCCGAAACUAGACGAGCUAUUUAAAAGCAGCCAGCUCGGGCAAACUCAUCUCUGUGGCAAAAGAGUGAAAAGACUUUUAAAUAGCGGCGACAAACCUACCGAGCCUAGUGAUAGCUGGUUGCCUGAUUCAAAUGAGUAUCAGCUCCGUCUUAAACCUUCUCUACAUACGUAAAAAUAACAAUUAAAGUUUAUUGAGCUAUUCAUAAGAGGAACGGCCCUUAUGAAAAAGGAUACAACCUACAACAAUGGGUAAUGAUCACACUCACUUAAGACUUAACACUAAGUUGGCUUAAAAGCAGCCACCAAAUUAAAGAUAGCGUCACAGCUCUAAUUACCACAUGAAUCAACAAUUCACAUAAACCAUCAAAACCCACAUACACCAACAGGUCCAUUCAUACCAAUAUGGAUAAGUUAAUGUUAGAACCAGUAACAAGAAAACAGAUUUUCUCAACGCGCAAGUAUAAGCCAGAUUGAACAUAUCACUGAUAAUUACCCCACCCAUAACAACUGGAACCGCCACCACUAGACAAGAAGAAAAUAAACAAACUAAUUGUUAACCUUACACAAGCACGCAUAUAUGAAAGAUUAAAAGAUAAGGAAGGAACUCGGCAAACUAUUAGCCUCGCCUGCUUACCAAAAACAUCGCCUCUAGCAAACACUUCAUGUAUUAGAGGUACUGCCUGCCCAGUGAAAAUUAUUUUAACGGCCGCGGUAUUCUGACCGUGCAAAGGUAGCAUAAUCACUUGUCUUUUAAAUAAAGACCUGUAUGAACGGCAACACGAAGGCUUAACUGUCUCCUUUAUCUAAUCAGUGAAACUAGUUAUCCUGUACAAAAACAGGAAUACUCACACAAGACGAGAAGACCCUAUGGAGCUUUAAACGCACAGCCAACCUAACACACUUAACCAGUUAUUUGGCCUGUCGUUUUCGGUUGGGGCGACCACGGAGAACAAUACAUCCUCCGAGUACAUAUUAAUACAAUUAAUUAAACUAAGAACCACAUCACAAGGCACCAGAAAUUCUGAUUUAUUGACCCAAGAUUUGAUCAACGAACCAAGUUACCCUAGGGAUAACAGCGCAAUCCUAUUAGAGAGUCCAUAUCGAUAAUGGGGUUUACGACCUCGAUGUUGGAUCAGGAUCCCCAAACAGUGCAGCAGCUGUUAAAGGUUCGUUUGUUCAACGAUUAAAAUCCUACGUGAUCUGAGUUCAGACCGGAGCAAUCCAGGUCAGUUUCUAUCUGUGUACAAUUUUUUCCAGUACGAAAGGACCGAAAAAAUGGGGCCAACACAUUAUGCGCGCCCUCCCUUACACCUAUGAAACCAACUAAAAACGUUACAAGGGCACACUUAUUAACCCUACAUCAGGGUUU